UAAUUGGAGAGUUUGAUCCUCGCUCAGGACGAACGCUGGCGGCGUGCCUAAUACAUGCAAGUCGAGCGGAGUUAUUUUGAAAGCUUGCUUUCAAAAUAACUUAGCGGCGGACGGGUGAGUAACACGUAGGCAACCUGCCCCUUAGACUGGGAUAACUACCGGAAACGGUAGCUAAUACCGGAUAAUUUCUUUUUUCUCCUGAAGAAAGAAUGAAAGACGGAGCAAUCUGUCACUGAGGGAUGGGCCUGCGGCGCAUUAGCUAGUUGGUGGGGUAACGUCCCACCAAGGCGACGAUGCGUAGCCGACCUGAGAGGGUGAUCGGCCACACUGGGACUGAGACACGGCCCAGACUCCUACGGGAGGCAGCAGUAGGGAAUCUUCCGCAAUGGACGAAAGUCUGACGGAGCAACGCCGCGUGAGUGAUGAAGGUUUUCGGAUCGUAAAACUCUGUUGUUAGGGAAGAACAAGUACCGUUCGAAUAGGGCGGUACCUUGACGGUACCUAACCAGAAAGCC
Molecule: ribosomal RNA, 515 nt
Filed under: Salmonella enterica subsp. enterica serovar Kentucky
Lineage: Bacteria; Pseudomonadati; Pseudomonadota; Gammaproteobacteria; Enterobacterales; Enterobacteriaceae
Description: bacterial SSU rRNA
Rfam family: Bacterial small subunit ribosomal RNA
Source: RNAcentral